GUGUAUGUGUUGUUGUAUUGGUGUUUGACUUGAUUGGACUUGGUUUUACUAGACUUGACUUUGUUUAGCUUGAUUGUUAAUUAUUGUUUGUUACUUGACUUGUUAUAUAAUCUCUAGUAGAGAAAUUAUAAUCAUGUUUAAGUCUGAGUAUGGAUUUCUGUAUACGUAGGAUAAAGUGAAUGAUCACUGUAAGUUAUGGGUGAAGUUUGACAUUAUGUCUGGG
RNAcentral lists this long non-coding RNA (223 nucleotides) under Capsicum annuum. Its description in RNAcentral is "long non-coding RNA (CANN_LNC004888)". Lineage: Eukaryota; Viridiplantae; Streptophyta; Magnoliopsida; Solanales; Solanaceae. The record is from RNAcentral.